Molecule: long non-coding RNA, 3059 nt
Filed under: Homo sapiens (human)
Lineage: Eukaryota; Metazoa; Chordata; Mammalia; Primates; Hominidae
Description: HSALNT0319015
Source: RNAcentral
AGCGGCCCUGUCAUCUCAGCCUCCUGAGUAGCUGGGGUUACAGAGCUCCUUUCUGACAACUUGCAAUUGAUCCAACAUUUGAAACCUUAUGCAGGAGCCGGACAGCUUGGUUUUGAAUUAUAAUCUUACAAAUUACUGGCUGUGUGUUAAAUCUUUAAAUUACUGGCUGUGUGACUUUGUAUGAAGAAGAAAAUGCUUUGUCAAGAAAUUCUUUUUUGGACUGAAUUCAUUGUUGCAAAAGAUAGUUAUUUUGGAAAGAAAUUGCUUUAACAGUUUCUCCUGCUACACUAUGACUUGUAUGAAUACAUCCAUAGGCAUAGCGAUAGAAUAAUGAACAGAAAAAUUAAGAAGAACCUGAAAUUAAUAAAUACCUAGGUAUUUGUCAGCAAUCCACCUGCCAUUCUGUAAGCUGCCCUACUCAGAAGCCAAAAGGACGAAAAACAUCCAGCAAUGACCUGAGGUCUGCCAACAGUUCAUUGGUGGAGCUUAGAAGUAGAAUCUACCCCAGUGGAGAUUUGAGAUGAUUCGCUAAAUUGUGAUGAUUGAGAGACCAGAGAUAGAACCAUCCAGCUGAGCUGCACCUAGAUUCCUGCCCAUAGAAACUGAGGAGGCAUCACUUCUUAGCCUUUUGGCUAAGAUCAAAUGUAGAAAUUGUGAGUUACUCUGCGUGUGUGUGUGUGUGUGUGUGUGUGUGUUUUAAACCAGUAAGAUUAGGGUAUCUUUUAUUUAGUAAUAGAUAACUAAGAAAGAUUUUGGUGCCUAGAGUUGGAGUGUUUGCCUAACUUAAUUGCAGAAGUGUUGUUGGAACCAGGUAGUAGCCAUUGAGGAGAGUGAUUAUGAAAGCUUAAAGUGCAUCGAACACACUAUUCAUAGACUUUAUGGGUUUGAGGAGCUUGUGGAUGAGUGGAGAAAACAUUAAAACUGAAAGAAAGGCCAUUGUUGUUAUGUAGUUGAAGAACUGUAAUAAACAUUGUCAUCUGCGUUUAUGUGGAAAGAGGAAAGUGUAUUUAAUGAUCUGUGUGAUCUACUUACUAGCAAAAAAAAGAAGCUAGAACCUGAUGCUGUUUUUUUUUUAAAAAAAAUGCUAAAAUUAGGUGCUAAAUUAAGAAACAGCUUCAAAGUACCGAAUCCAGGGAACUGCCAGAAAAAUAUGGUAUGAGGCUAAAACUGAAGGUAUGAUUGUAAAAGCUCUUCUUAAUACUUCAGAAAGAUAAAAACUGGUGUGAUGGUUCAUUUUAUGGGUCAACUUGGAGGGUGUUUUUGGAUAAAAUUAACCUUUAAGUCAGUGAACUUUGAGUAUGUAGAUUGCCCUCCAUAAUAUGAGUGGACCUCAUCCAGUCAGUUGAAAGUCUAAGUAGAACAAAAACUAUCCUCCCAAAGCAAGAGGCAAUUCUCCAGUAGGCUGCCUUCAGACUUCAUCUGUACCAUCAGUUCUCUUGAAUCUCCAGCCUGCCAGCCCACAUGUAGUUUUUAGACUUCCCAUCCUCCAUAAUUACACGAGCAAAUUCCUUAUAAGAAGUCUCUUUCUAUAUUUAAACACAUCCUGCUGGUUCUGUUUCUUUGGAGAACCCCAACUAAUACAGGUGAUAUCAUAGAGUGCUCUUCAGUCAAAUAAAAGACCCUUGAAGGAGACUAAGGGUGUUUUACACAAAUCUUUUCAAUCCAACCAAAGGAUCUCUGAGAAUUGUGAGGGGUUCCUCUCAUCCUUCUCAAUAGGAGACAAAGGUAUAGAUAGGAGAUUUGUGGCAUGUCUUUUUUCUAGUGGAAUGAACCCCAAAAGGAUUUAUAAAAGACCCACAAAGUCUUUUAAACACUUACAUACGCAAAAACAUCACCAGAUUGAACUGAAAAAGAGGCAUUUGGAUCCCAAAACUUCUACAUUUAGAAAACAGGCUGUGAAAACUACUUAGCUGCUAAUGCAUGCUGACUUUUACAAUAAAGAGUAAAUGGCUUUGCGAGCAGAACCAAGGGCCCAGAAGGCAGAGUGAACUAGGAAGCCGACCCUUACUAAGUCCAGUUUUGGGAUAACUAAGCCCUUCUUGCAAUUGGGUUGCAAUAUCUCUAGAAACUGUGAGCAAGAGACACCCAGUCAAGCUACACUUCAUUUCUGACUCACAAAAACUGUCAGAUUAAACUGUUUUUUAAGUGGUUGAAUGUUGAAUAAUAGAGAAAUCACUGGUAGAGAGGGAGAAAUGGACAUUAAGCAGCCUGUUUGUAUAGAUGGGAGUUUAUAGGAGAUGCACAAGUAUUGGUGGUAAGAUUUAGAAGGUGAGUAGAUGAAGGUGAGUAGAUAGUAGUGGUAUCUGGUGAAAGAGGAAGAAAAAUGGAAGAUUAUGGAAUUAAGAAGACAAAAGAAGAAAACAUUUAAAGGUGAAGGUGGAGUCUACUCUCUUCGCAGUUUGAAUGGAGGGCUGUGGGUGAAACAUUAUGUAGAAUAAGGCAAAAACAAAAUACAAUGUGGGAAAAUGAGGGUGCUGAAUAUGAACAGCUAUUCAAACAAUUUUUGUUGGAAAAAAGGAGUGAAGAAAACAGGGUUGCAGCCAAAGAGGAACAUGAAACCAAAGGAUAUAUUUUUAUCUUAAUUUGAAGUGCUAGCGUAUUUAUAUGCUGAAGGAAAAUUGGAAUGGAUGGGGAGAAAUCACACAUGCAUGAGAGAAUAAUUGGAUGGCAUAAAUUGCGAUGACAAAAAUAGAAGGGACCCAGAGAUCAGGCAAAAUAAAUCCCUCUUAUAGGAGCAGGGCAUGGAUCUGUAUUAACAGGGCUGAAAACAGAGGCUAUGUAUUUCGAUAAAAAUUAGUGCAUAGAUUUGAUAUGAGGAUGGUGAGAAAUUUGCCAAAGGAUUUUCAUGGAAUACGUUUCCAUGAUCAUAGAGAGUUUUCUUAUGCCACACUGAUCUAGAUAAAGAUUAUCAUCUUAACAUUAUAGAAAUAUCCUUGUGUUAGGCCAUUGUUGUGUUGCUAUAAAUCUGUAAGACUGGGUAAUUUAUAGAAAAAGAGGAAAUUUAAAUGGCUCACCGUUCUGCAGGCUGUACAGAAAACAGUGCUUCUUGUGAGGGCCUA